RNAcentral lists this ribosomal RNA (468 nucleotides) under uncultured bacterium. RNAcentral's name for it is "partial 16S ribosomal RNA". It matches the Rfam family "Bacterial small subunit ribosomal RNA", at positions 28 to 507 of the family's 1533-position model. The record is from RNAcentral.
GACGAACGCUGGCGGCGUGCUUAACACAUGCAAGUCGAACGGAAAGGCCCUGCUUUUGUGGGGUGCUCGAGUGGCGAACGGGUGAGUAACACGUGAGUAACCUGCCCUUGACUUUGGGAUAACUUCAGGAAACUGGGGCUAAUACCGGAUAGGAGCUCCUGCUGCAUGGUGGGGGUUGGAAAGUUUCGGCGGUUGGGGAUGGACUCGCGGCUUAUCAGCUUGUUGGUGGGGUAGUGGCUUACCAAGGCUUUGACGGGUAGCCGGCCUGAGAGGGUGACCGGCCACAUGGGGACUGAGAGACGGCCCAGACGCCUACGGGAGGCAGCAGGGGGGAGUAUUGCACAAUGGGCGGAAGCCUGAUGCAGCAACGCCGCGUGCGGGAUGACGGCCUUCGGGUUGUAAACCGCUUUCGCCUGUGACGAAGCGUGAGUGACGGUAAUGGGUAAAGAAGCACCGGCUAACUACGUG